RNAcentral lists this ribosomal RNA (742 nucleotides) under Enterobacter bugandensis. RNAcentral describes it as "partial 23S ribosomal RNA". It matches the Rfam family "Bacterial large subunit ribosomal RNA", at positions 2189 to 2925 of the family's 2925-position model. RNAcentral also lists the same sequence under 3 other names. The record is from RNAcentral. Lineage: Bacteria; Pseudomonadati; Pseudomonadota; Gammaproteobacteria; Enterobacterales; Enterobacteriaceae.
UCCUUGAAAUACCACCCUUUAAUGGCUGGUGUUCUAACGUGGACCCGUGAUCCGGGUUGCGGACAGUGUCUGGUGGGUAGUUUGACUGGGGCGGUCUCCUCCCAAAGAGUAACGGAGGAGCACGAAGGUUAGCUAAUCCUGGUCGGACAUCAGGAGGUUAGUGCAAUGGCAUAAGCUAGCUUGACUGCGAGAGUGACGGCUCGAGCAGGUGCGAAAGCAGGUCAUAGUGAUCCGGUGGUUCUGAAUGGAAGGGCCAUCGCUCAACGGAUAAAAGGUACUCCGGGGAUAACAGGCUGAUACCGCCCAAGAGUUCAUAUCGACGGCGGUGUUUGGCACCUCGAUGUCGGCUCAUCACAUCCUGGGGCUGAAGUAGGUCCCAAGGGUAUGGCUGUUCGCCAUUUAAAGUGGUACGCGAGCUGGGUUUAGAACGUCGUGAGACAGUUCGGUCCCUAUCUGCCGUGGGCGCUGGAGAAUUGAGGGGGGCUGCUCCUAGUACGAGAGGACCGGAGUGGACGCAUCACUGGUGUUCGGGUUGUCAUGCCAAUGGCACUGCCCGGUAGCUAAAUGCGGAAGAGAUAAGUGCUGAAAGCAUCUAAGCACGAAACUUGCCCCGAGAUGAGUUCUCCCUGAGACUUUAAGUCUCCUGAAGGAACGUUGAAGACGACGACGUUGAUAGGCCGGGUGUGUAAGCGCAGCGAUGCGUUGAGCUAACCGGUACUAAUGAACCGUGAGGCUUAACCUU